This 259-nucleotide ribosomal RNA is filed under the name uncultured bacterium. RNAcentral's name for it is "partial 16S ribosomal RNA". It matches the Rfam family "Bacterial small subunit ribosomal RNA", at positions 28 to 288 of the family's 1533-position model. The record is from RNAcentral.
GAUAAACGCUGGCGGCGUGCCUUACGCAUGCAAGUCGAACGGUGUCCUUCGGGGCACAGUGGCGGACGGGUGAGUAACACGUACGUGACCUGACGCGAAGCGGGGGAGUACCCGUCCGAAAGGGCGGCUAAUACCGCAUGUGGUCAUCGGGGAGUGCCCGGUGAGUAAAAGGGCUUUCGGUCGUCACUUCGUGGAGGGGCGGUGCGGCCGAUUAGCUCGUUGGUGGGGUAACGGCCUACCAAGGCGACGANCGGUAGCU